UUCCUAAUUAUGCUCUAGCAGUUUAUAUUUCUCUAGUCAAGUUGUUUGAAUGAACUGUAAUUUAUACCUGUUAAAUCAGUGUAUACUUAAUUGAACCACCCCGAUUAUCCUAACAGAAAUAAGGUUAUCGAUCUGUUCGUGGCUGUUAGGAACAUGAUACAUUUACACUGUACAUGUGAAUGUGUGUGUAAGCGUCAGAGGACGUCCAGGCCUUAGUUGGGACAAAAGACAAGAGUCAGUCGUUACAAGUAUCUGGAAGAGUCGGUUGGCAACAAGCGUGCGUGCGAGUAGGAUUUCGGGAUCGAGUGAGUCUUCAGUAAGGAAAGAAACGUUCAAAGGUUACAAAGAGGAAAAAUACACUUCGAGCACGUAGGAACGCUUGAGUAAGAGAUAAGGAAUCAUUUUAAAUGGAGAGAUUGGAAAUCAUGAUACCUAUUUUCGAUGGAUAUUUACGGUAUGUGGAAGCAAAGAAU
This 473-nucleotide unclassified non-coding RNA is filed under the name Bombus terrestris (buff-tailed bumblebee). RNAcentral describes it as "misc RNA ENSBTSG00005031133.1". Lineage: Eukaryota; Metazoa; Arthropoda; Insecta; Hymenoptera; Apidae. The record is from RNAcentral.